GAUGUGUAGGAUAGGUGGGAGGCUUUGAAGCGUGGACGCCAGUCUGCGUGGAGCCGACCUUGAAAUACCACCCUUUAAUGUUUGAUGUUCUAACGUGGACCCGUGAUCCGGGUUGCGGACAGUGUCUGGUGGGUAGUUUGACUGGGGCGGUCUCCUCCUAAAGAGUAACGGAGGAGCACGAAGGUUGGCUAAUCCUGGUCGGACAUCAGGAGGUUAGUGCAAUGGCAUAAGCCAGCUUGACUGCGAGCGUGACGGCGCGAGCAGGUGCGAAAGCAGGUCAUAGUGAUCCGGUGGUUCUGAAUGGAAGGGCCAUCGCUCAACGGAUAAAAGGUACUCCGGGGAUAACAGGCUGAUACCGCCCAAGAGUUCAUAUCGACGGCGGUGUUUGGCACCUCGAUGUCGGCUCAUCACAUCCUGGGGCUGAAGUAGGUCCCAAGGGUAUGGCUGUUCGCCAUUUAAAGUGGUACGCGAGCUGGGUUUAGAACGUCGUGAGACAGUUCGGUCCCUAUCUGCCGUGGGCGCUGGAGAACUGAGGGGGGCUGCUCCUAGUACGAGAGGACCGGAGUGGACGCAUCACUGGUGUUCGGGUUGUCAUGCCAAUGGCACUGCCCGGUAGCUAAAUGCGGAAGAGAUAAGUGCUGAAAGCAUCUAAGCACGAAACUUGCCCCGAGAUGAGUUCUCCCUGAGACUUAGAGUCUCCUGAAGGAACGUUGAAGACGACGACGUUGAUAGGCCGGGUGUGUAAGCGCAGCGAUGCGUUGAGCUAACCGGUACUAAUGAACCGUGAGGCUUAACCUUACAACGCCG
RNAcentral lists this ribosomal RNA (807 nucleotides) under Salmonella enterica. Its description in RNAcentral is "partial 23S ribosomal RNA". It matches the Rfam family "Bacterial large subunit ribosomal RNA", at positions 2133 to 2925 of the family's 2925-position model. Lineage: Bacteria; Pseudomonadati; Pseudomonadota; Gammaproteobacteria; Enterobacterales; Enterobacteriaceae. The record is from RNAcentral.